Molecule: transfer RNA, 87 nt
Filed under: Oscillospiraceae bacterium
Lineage: Bacteria; Bacillati; Bacillota; Clostridia; Eubacteriales; Oscillospiraceae
Description: tRNA-Leu
Rfam family: tRNA
About the family: Transfer RNA (tRNA) molecules are approximately 80 nucleotides in length. Their secondary structure includes four short double-helical elements and three loops (D, anti-codon, and T loops). Further hydrogen bonds mediate the characteristic L-shaped molecular structure. tRNAs have two regions of fundamental functional importance: the anti-codon, which is responsible for specific mRNA codon recognition, and the 3' end, to which the tRNAs corresponding amino acid is attached (by aminoacyl-tRNA synthetases). tRNAs cope with the degeneracy of the genetic code in two manners: having more than one tRNA (with a specific anti-codon) for a particular amino acid; and 'wobble' base-pairing, i.e. permitting non-standard base-pairing at the 3rd anti-codon position.
Source: RNAcentral
GCCGGAGUGGCGGAAUUGGCAGACGCAGCGGACUUAAAAUCCGCUGAGAGUAAUCUCGUGCCGGUUCGAUCCCGGCCUUCGGCACCA